RNAcentral lists this ribosomal RNA (253 nucleotides) under uncultured bacterium. RNAcentral describes it as "partial 16S ribosomal RNA". It matches the Rfam family "Bacterial small subunit ribosomal RNA", at positions 524 to 776 of the family's 1533-position model. The record is from RNAcentral.
UACGAAGGGUGCAAACGUUGCUCGGAAUCAUUGGGCGUAAAGCGCACGUAGGCGGCCUCAUAAGUCGGAUGUGAAAUCCCUCGGCUCAACCGAGGACGUGCAUCCGAAACUGUGAAGCUCGAGUAUGGAAGAGGGUCGCGGAAUUCCCGGUGUAGAGGUGAAAUUCGUAGAUAUCAGGAGGAACACCAAUUGCGAAGGCAGCUCGCUGGGACGUUACUGACGCUGAGACGCGAAAGCGUGGGGAGCAAACAGG